GAUGAACGCUGGCGGCGUGCCUAAUACAUGCAAGUCGAGCGAACGGACGAGAAGCUUGCUUCUCUGAUGUUAGCGGCGGACGGGUGAGUAACACGUGGAUAACCUACCUAUAAGACUGGGAUAACUUCGGGAAACCGGAGCUAAUACCGGAUAAUAUUUUGAACCGCAUGGUUCAAAAGUGAAAGACGGUCUUGCUGUCACUUAUAGAUGGAUCCGCGCUGCAUUAGCUAGUUGGUAAGGUAACGGCUUACCAAGGCAACGAUGCAUAGCCGACCUGAGAGGGUGAUCGACCACACUGGAACUGAGCCACGGUCCCGACUCCUACGAGAGGCAGCCGUAGCGAAUCUUCCGCCAUGGGCGACAGCCUGACAGGGCCACACCGCGUGAAUGACUGCAGUGUACGGAUCGGUAGACACUGGUAUUAGGGGAGAACAUGUGUGUGAGUAACUGUGCACAUCUUGACGGUACCUAAUCAGAAAGCCACGGCUAGCUACGGG
Molecule: ribosomal RNA, 497 nt
Filed under: uncultured bacterium
Lineage: Bacteria
Description: partial 16S ribosomal RNA
Rfam family: Bacterial small subunit ribosomal RNA
Source: RNAcentral